Molecule: ribosomal RNA, 497 nt
Filed under: uncultured bacterium
Lineage: Bacteria
Description: partial 16S ribosomal RNA
Rfam family: Bacterial small subunit ribosomal RNA
Source: RNAcentral
GAUGAACGCUGGCGGCGUGCCUAAUACAUGCAAGUCGAGCGAACGGACGAGAAGCUUGCUUCUCUGAUGUUAGCGGCGGACGGGUGAGUAACACGUGGAUAACCUACCUAUAAGACUGGGAUAACUUCGGGAAACCGGAGCUAAUACCGGAUAAUAUUAUGAACCGCAUGGUUCAAAAGUGAAAGACGGUCUUGCUGUCACUUAUAGAUGGAUCCGCGCUGCAUUAGCUAGUUGGUAAGGUAACGGCUUACCAAGGCAACGAUGCAUAGCCGACCUGAGAGGGUGAUCGGCCACACUGGAACUGAGACACGGUCCAGACUCCUACGAGAGGCAGCAGUAGGGAAUCUUCCGCAAUGGGCGAAAGCCUGACGGAGCAACGCCGAGAGAGUGAUGAAGGUCUUCGGAUCGUAAAACUCUGUUAUUAGGGAAGAACAUAUGUGAAAGUAACUGUGCACAUCUUGACGGUACCUAAUCAGAAAGCCACGGCUAAAUACGUG